GCGGCCUAUCAGCUUGUUGGCGAGGUAACGGCUCACCAAGGCAACGACGGGUAGCUGGUCUGAGAGGAUGGCCAGCCACAUUGGGACUGAGAUACGGCCCAGACCCCUACGGGAGGCAGCAGUGGGGAAUCUUGCGCAAUGGCCUAACGGCUGACGCAGCGACGCCGCGUGUGGGAUGAAGCUCUUCGGAGUGUAAACCACUGUUGCCCGGGACGAAUAGCUCGAUUAAUCGAGCCUGACGGUACCGGGUGAGGAAGCACCGGCUAACUCCGUGCCAGCAGCCGCGGUAAUACGGGGGGUGCGAGCGUUGUCCGGAAUCACUGGGCGUAAAGGGCGCGUAGGUGGUUUGAUAAGGGUGUGGUGAAAGUCCGGGGCUCAACCCCGGAUCUGCCGUGCCGACUGUCAAACUCGAGGGCUGUAGAGGCAGACGGAAUUCCGGGUGUAGCGGUGGAAUGCGUAGAGAUCCGGAGGAAGACCGGUGGCGAAGGCGGUCUGCUGGGCAGUUUCUGACACUGAUGCGCGACAGCGUGGGGAGCAAACAGGAUUAGAUACCCUGGUAGUCCACGCCGUAAACGAUGGGUACUAGGUGCCUGGGGGAGCGACCCUCUGGGUGCCGGCGCUAACGCAGGAAGUACCCCGCCUGGGGAGUACGG
RNAcentral lists this ribosomal RNA (653 nucleotides) under uncultured bacterium. Its description in RNAcentral is "bacterial SSU rRNA". It matches the Rfam family "Bacterial small subunit ribosomal RNA", at positions 233 to 885 of the family's 1533-position model. The record is from RNAcentral.